GUGUCAGCAGCCGCGGUAAUACGUAGGGGGCGAGCGUUGUCCGGAUUCAUUGGGCGUAAAGAGCUCGUAGGCGGCCGGCUAAGUCAGGUGUGAAACCUCCAGGCUCAACCUGGAGCCGCCACCUGAUACUGGUCUGGCUAGAGUCCGGUAGGGGACCACGGAAUUCCUGGUGUAGCGGUGAAAUGCGCAGAUAUCAGGAGGAACACCGGUGGCGAAGGCGGUGGUCUGGGCCGGCACUGACGCUGAGGAGCGAAAGCGUGGGGAGCAAACAGGAUUAGAUACCCCCGUAGUCC
Molecule: ribosomal RNA, 293 nt
Filed under: uncultured bacterium
Lineage: Bacteria
Description: partial 16S ribosomal RNA
Rfam family: Bacterial small subunit ribosomal RNA
Source: RNAcentral